Molecule: long non-coding RNA, 665 nt
Filed under: Helianthus annuus (common sunflower)
Lineage: Eukaryota; Viridiplantae; Streptophyta; Magnoliopsida; Asterales; Asteraceae
Description: hypothetical non coding rna
Source: RNAcentral
ACUUUCUUGUUAUUCAUGACCCUCCCACCAUCUUCAUGAUGGUGUGUGUAGUGGUGAAUCAUAUAAUGAGGUUUUCUAACCUCCAUGCUUGACAUACAUGAUGCUACAUGAUAAUACUUGAUUGGACUUAGUUUUAGGAUGUAUUAUUACUAUAUAAACUAUACAUAAAUGUAUAAAAGCAUGGCUGAGUUUGUGGUGUUAAUCAUACCAUGAUUAGCCAUCAUAAACCUAAGCUAUCAUAUCAAAGAUUCUAGAGUUCUUGUUAUGAUUCCAAUGGGCAAUUUGGGACCCAUGAAACCACUAAUUAUGGUGUCAUAAGCAAACUCUUAGGGCUUAGAUAUUAAUUUCAUAUAUACAUACUUUUACUACUUUAAUUUCUAAAUUCCGAAUCUUACCACUCCAUACACAUCACGUAACCCUACCAUCAAAUCCUGACUCACAAGCAAACUCGUCACUCUUUGAUAAUCGGAACGCAUAUGCAAUUUUGUUGAUGAGGAUGAUGCUAAGAAAAGAAGUAGCGUUGAUGCCUAGAUACACAUAUAGACGUUAGGGUUUAAUAUGUUGUAUCAAUUUUGUUAUGUUAUCAUGUUAUUUUUGUUAAACUUGUUGUAUUUGAAUUUCUUGUAAUGUUGACAAUUCAUCUUAUGAAAUGAAAUCGGAUUAUU